GCAAAACUGCUGAGGUUUGAGGCCCCGUUUUGCUGCUCACUAGCUACAUGAUCUUGGGCAAGUUAUUUAAGCUCUCUGAGCUUCAGUUUCUUCCUCUGCAGAAUGGGGAUGAAAGCGGACUACUACCUCAUGGCAUGUUUUGAGGAUGAAAUGAGCUAAUAAACACAGUCUUCAGCCCUACAUUAGGACGGCCUAAGGAAAACAAGAAGACUGAAUGAUAUUCCCUGGAGGAGUCUCACUUUGUCACCCAGCCUGGAGUGCAGUGGUGAGAUCAUAGCUCACUGCAGCCUUGACCUCAUGGGCUCAAAAAAUCCUCCUGUUGGGACUACAGAUGCUCACCACCAUGCCUGGCUAAUUUAAAAUUUUUUUGUAGAGACAGGGUCUCACUAUAUUGUCCAGACUGGUCUCAAAUUCCUGGCCUCCACCAAUCCUCCCACCUCAUUCUCCCAAAGUGCUGGGAUUAUAGGCAUGAGCCACUGCGUCUGGCCUAUAUUCUAAAAAAAUUCUGCUGAGAAACUAGGAAAGCUAGCAGCCUUGGUUUCUCAGGUUUGACUUGCAACAAUUGACUUCUUGUAAAUGUUGCCUAUAUUGCUUUCUCUACCACCUCAACAUCAACUUUUUCCCAAUUCGCUCCUCAUAUUUCUGCUAUUUCAUGAAGAUUGCUCUUGUUAAUGUCACCAAGAGCCUCCACAAUUGCCAAAUCCAGUAGUUUGUCUCUGCUUUUGUCUUACUUGCCCUUUUGGCAGCGUUUGCCACUUAAUCAUGCUUUUCUUUUUUCUUUUUUAGACAGGCUUUUACUCUGUCACCCAGGCUGGAGUGCAAUGGUGCAAUCUUGGCUCACUGAAACCUCUGCCUCCUGGAUUCAAGCGAUCCUCCCAACUCAGCCUCCCGAGUAGCUGGGACUACAGGUGAGGGCCACCAUGCCUGGUAAUUUUUGUAUUUUUAGUAGAGACAGGGUUUCACCAUGUUGACCAGGCUGGUCUCAAACUCCUGACCUCAGGUGAUCUGCCCGCCUUGGCUUCCA
Molecule: long non-coding RNA, 1024 nt
Filed under: Pan troglodytes (chimpanzee)
Lineage: Eukaryota; Metazoa; Chordata; Mammalia; Primates; Hominidae
Description: long non-coding RNA NONPTRT016332
Source: RNAcentral